GCGUGGGGGGGGGUGCUAAUACAUGCAAGUAGAACGCUGAAGAGAGGAGCUUGCUCUUCUUGGAUGAGUUGCGAACGGGUGAGUAACGCGUAGGUAACCUGCCUUGUAGCGGGGGAUAACUAUUGGAAACGAUAGCUAAUACCGCAUAACAAUGGAUGACACAUGUCAUUUAUUUGAAAGGGGCAAUUGCUCCACUACAAGAUGGACCUGCGUUGUAUUAGCUAGUAGGUGAGGUAACGGCUCACCUAGGCGACGAUACAUAGCCGACCUGAGAGGGUGAUCGGCCACACUGGGACUGAGACACGGCCCAGACUCCUACGGGAGGCAGCAGUAGGGAAUCUUCGGCAAUGGGGGCAACCCUGACCGAGCAACGCCGCGUGAGUGAAGAAGGUUUUCGGAUCGUAAAGCUCUGUUGUAAGUCAAGAACGAGUGUGAGAGUGGAAAGUUCACACUGUGACGGUAGCUUACCAGAAAGGGACGGCUAACUACGUGCCAGCAGCCGCGGUAAUACGUAGGUCCCGAGCGUUGUCCGGAUUUAUUGGGCGUAAAGCGAGCGCAGGCGGUUUGAUAAGUCUGAAGUUAAAGGCUGUGGCUCAACCAUAGUUCGCUUUGGAAACUGUCAAACUUGAGUGCAGAAGGGGAGAGUGGAAUUCCAUGUGUAGCGGUGAAAUGCGUAGAUAUAUGGAGGAACACCGGUGGCGAAAGCGGCUCUCUGGUCUGUAACUGACGCUGAGGCUCGAAAGCGUGGGGAGCGAACAGGAUUAGAUACCCUGGUAGUCCACGCCGUAAACGAUGAGUGCUAGGUGUUGGAUCCUUUCCGGGAUUCAGUGCCGCAGCUAACGCAUUAAGCACUCCGCCUGGGGAGUACGACCGCAAGGUUGAAACUCAAAGGAAUUGACGGGGGCCCGCACAAGCGGUGGAGCAUGUGGUUUAAUUCGAAGCAACGCGAAGAACCUUACCAGGUCUUGACAUCCCGAUGCUAUUUCUAGAGAUAGAAAGUUACUUCGGUACAUCGGUGACAGGUGGUGCAUGGUUGUCGUCAGCUCGUGUCGUGAGAUGUUGGGUUAAGUCCCGCAACGAGCGCAACCCCUAUUGUUAGUUGCCAUCAUUCAGUUGGGCACUCUAGCGAGACUGCCGGUAAUAAACCGGAGGAAGGUGGGGAUGACGUCAAAUCAUCAUGCCCCUUAUGACCUGGGCUACACACGUGCUACAAUGGUUGGUACAACGAGUUGCGAGUCGGUGACGGCAAGCUAAUCUCUUAAAGCCAAUCUCAGUUCGGAUUGUAGGCUGCAACUCGCCUACAUGAAGUCGGAAUCGCUAGUAAUCGCGGAUCAGCACGCCGCGGUGAAUACGUUCCCGGGCCUUGUACACACCGCCCGUCACACCACGAGAGUUUGUAACACCCGAAGUCGGUGAGGUAACCUUUUGGAGCCAGCCGCAUAAAAGGUGGAAAGCAUC
This 1458-nucleotide ribosomal RNA is filed under the name Streptococcus salivarius. RNAcentral describes it as "bacterial SSU rRNA". It matches the Rfam family "Bacterial small subunit ribosomal RNA". Lineage: Bacteria; Bacillati; Bacillota; Bacilli; Lactobacillales; Streptococcaceae. The record is from RNAcentral.